RNAcentral lists this long non-coding RNA (208 nucleotides) under Lathyrus oleraceus (garden pea). Its description in RNAcentral is "Pisum sativum (pea) long non-coding RNA (PSAT_LNC019420)". The record is from RNAcentral. Lineage: Eukaryota; Viridiplantae; Streptophyta; Magnoliopsida; Fabales; Fabaceae.
UCGACAACAGCGCCAAAAACUUGAUCGCUAUAUUCGCAAGUGCAUGAAUCGUGUCAGAGUAAUAUAAAAGAAUAUCGAUCCCACAAAGAUCAAAUCGUCAAUCUAUCGAUUACUAUCGUUACGAUGUUUAUCUAAGGUGGUAUAAAAGAGAUAUUGAUGUUGCAAAAUAACAAUAAAUAAAGAAAAUAAAUACGGUGUAGAUAAAAAC